UGGCUCAGGAUGAACGCUAGCGGCAGGCCUAACACAUGCAAGUCGAGGGGUAGAAAGAGCUUGCUUUUUUGAGACCGGCGCACGGGUGAGUAACGCGUAUGCAACCUACCUUAUACAGGGGAAUAGCCCGAAGAAAUUCGGAUUAAUGCUCCAUGGUUUAUCGAUAUGGCAUCGUAUUGAUAAUAAAGAUUUAUCGGUAUAAGAUGGGCAUGCGUAUCAUUAGCUAGUUGGUGUGGUAACGGCAUACCAAGGCAACGAUGAUUAGGGGUCCUGAGAGGGAGAUCCCCCACACUGGUACUGAGACACGGACCAGACUCCUACGGGAGGCAGCAGUGAGGAAUAUUGGUCAAUGGAGGCAACUCUGAACCAGCCAUGCCGCGUGCAGGAUGACGGUCCUAUGGAUUGUAAACUGCUUUUGUACAGGAAGAAACCUCCCUACGAGUAGGGACUUGACGGUACUGUAAGAAUAAGGAUCGGCUAACUCCGUGCCAGCAGCCGCGGUAAUACGGAGGAUCCGAGCGUUAUCCGGAAUUAUUGGGUUUAAAGGGUUCGUAGGCGGCUUUGUAAGUCAGUGGUGAAAUUUCCUAGCUUAACUAGGACACUGCCAUUGAUACUGCAGAGCUUGAAUAAUAUGGAAGUAACUAGAAUAUGUAGUGUAGCGGUGAAAUGCUUAGAUAUUACAUGGAAUACCAAUUGCGAAGGCAGGUUACUACGUAUUUAUGACGC
RNAcentral lists this ribosomal RNA (726 nucleotides) under Myroides sp. RNAcentral describes it as "bacterial SSU rRNA". It matches the Rfam family "Bacterial small subunit ribosomal RNA", at positions 20 to 746 of the family's 1533-position model. Lineage: Bacteria; Pseudomonadati; Bacteroidota; Flavobacteriia; Flavobacteriales; Flavobacteriaceae. The record is from RNAcentral.